GUAUUGGACCGAAAAUCAUUCUUUCUCUUCCUCCUCCAUCUCGAUCUCUCUCUCGAUUCUGCUCUGGCGAUCCUGCUCUCAAUCUUCGUCGGGGUUAUGAUUGAUAUUACAAAGGCGAUCCUCGAUCGAUCACUUCAUCUUCUCUUUCAGGGUUGAAAGACGAUUCUUUUUUGUUUCACUGAGAAGCCUCAAAAAAAGAAGGAAAGAUAGAGACAGAGAAGCAUAUCGGGUCUCUGUAAACAUUUCUCCUUCGACCAUGAAUGAUCUCGAGAAGGUGUAUCCGUGGAGACAAAGGUUCUCGUGGAGACGUUUCUAUCCUCCCAACACUUGUGGUACUACUCAGAGCGACACUAGAAGGUGGACCCAAUGUUACAUAAGAAGACAGUAGAGUGUAAUAUGGUCUUAGAUGAAAGCACGACAUGUGACAGAAGAAGACAAAAAAAAAUACUUGUUGGUACGUUGGUCUCGGUUUUGUGUUUCCAUGUGAAGAAGAAGAAGACAAACGUAAACUUGCAAGUUGUUUUCAUAAACAUGCUCACGCUUUCUCUUUAUAAACGAGUGUAAAAUAACAAGUUGUAUUUAUAAACAUUGCCAUUUCUCUCUUUCUAAAGGUUGUCAUCUCUCUCUUUAUAAACAUUUCCAUUUCUCUCUUUAUAAACGAGUGUAAAAGAACAAUUUCUAUUUUGUUUUUUCCUUACCA
This is a long non-coding RNA of Brassica napus (rape), 700 nucleotides long. RefSeq lists it as uncharacterized. The transcript is spliced from 3 exons. Lineage: Eukaryota; Viridiplantae; Streptophyta; Magnoliopsida; Brassicales; Brassicaceae. The record is from RefSeq and is a predicted model, not a curated record.